CUACGGGAGGCAGCAGUGGGGAAUUUUGCGCAAUGGGCGAAAGCCUGACGCAGCAACGCCGCGUGUGUGAUGAAGGUCUUCGGAUUGUAAAGCACUUUCGACCGGGACGAAACCGUAUUGGCUAACAUCCAAUGCUCUGACGGUACCGGGAGAAGAAGCACCGGCUAACUCUGUGCCAGCAGCCGCGGUAAUACAGAGGGUGCAAGCGUUGUUCGGAAUUAUUGGGCGUAAAGCGCGUGUAGGCGGCUUUGCAAGUCGGGUGUGAAAUCCCUCGGCUUAACCGAGGAAGUGCGCCCGAAACUGCAGAGCUUGAGUACCGGAGAGGAUGGUGGAAUUCCCCAAGUAGAGGUGAAAUUCGUAGAUAUGGGGAGGAACACCGGUGGCGAAGGCGACCAUCUGGACGGAUACUGACGCUGAGACGCGAAAGCGUGGGGAGCAAACAGGAUUAGAUACCCCGGUAGU
Molecule: ribosomal RNA, 462 nt
Filed under: uncultured bacterium
Lineage: Bacteria
Description: bacterial SSU rRNA
Rfam family: Bacterial small subunit ribosomal RNA
Source: RNAcentral